GGAAUCUUCCACAAUGGACGCAAGUCUGAUGGAGCAACGCCGCGUGAGUGAAGAAGGGUUUCGGCUCGUAAAGCUCUGUUGUUAAAGAAGAACACGUAUGAGAGUAACUGUUCAUACGUUGACGGUAUUUAACCAGAAAGCCACGGCUAACUACGUGCCAG
RNAcentral lists this ribosomal RNA (161 nucleotides) under uncultured bacterium. Its description in RNAcentral is "partial 16S ribosomal RNA". It matches the Rfam family "Bacterial small subunit ribosomal RNA", at positions 358 to 511 of the family's 1533-position model. The record is from RNAcentral.